AAAGUUUGACAGAAAGACAAGAAGUAGAUGCAUAUUCCAGGAUAAAGAAACGGAAAAUAAAAAGCCCUGAGCGAGCUAAGAACCUAAAAAAGAAAGAAUUGCAAGAAAUUUCUUGAUUCUACAGAAACUGGAGCAUUAAGGAACCAUCUCUAGAAGCACCUGCUCUGCUGCAUAGUAUCCCACUCCUAUGAUUGGGGUCUAACCCAGGGCCUCACAUGCCAGCACUGGAGAUAGAACCUAGGGUCUCCUCAUACAUACAAAGUUUUGUCCUGCUGAUGAACAACAGCCCCAGCCAGCCCCCUGAAGAACUGAAACUCUAUUCUUCUCAACUUUGAACUGGCUACAUAAACACCUUCAAAGGACUGUAUGUUCCUCAGUCUCUGGACUACUGUGUGAACAUAUAUAAUUCUUAUGUAUUUUACCUGUAUAAACAAAGAAAUUCUUUGCCAGGAAAUACCAUUGUCAAACGCUGUGAGGCUUAAAAUAGAUAAUACAUAUAUAAUGUCUAGCAUAAAGGCACAUAGUAGACAAUAAAUGUAAAAUGUACAAAA
Marmota monax (woodchuck) is the source of this 551-nucleotide long non-coding RNA. RefSeq lists it as uncharacterized. The transcript is spliced from 3 exons. NCBI's taxonomy places the organism in Eukaryota, Metazoa, Chordata, Mammalia, Rodentia, Sciuridae. The record is from RefSeq and is a predicted model, not a curated record.